Molecule: non-coding RNA, 1716 nt
Organism: Cinara cedri
Lineage: Eukaryota; Metazoa; Arthropoda; Insecta; Hemiptera; Aphididae
Source: the annotation of a GenBank genome assembly
UUUUUUUUUGUCAUUUUACUGGGUGCCUUCGUAUUAUGUAUUAUUAACUAAAUAAUACUAUUAUAUUAUGGGCUAUCGAAAAUAUGGUUUAUGAAAAUUGUUAACAAUUUAAUACAUACAAUAUUAAAAUAAAACUAAAAAUUAAAAUAUUAGUAUAAAAUGUAUAAUGUGUGUUUUUUUUUUUUUUUUUUUUGACAUAUGACUAGAUUAAUAUAAUAUUAAUACAUUGAUAGGUUUUCAAGACUAGACACGGUUUUUUUUUUUUUUUUAAAUAGUUAUUUCAGUAUACAAUUUAUUCUUAUAUAGAUGUUUACAAACUACAAAAAAAAAAAAAAAAAAACAAAAAAAAUGACUAGGUAUAAAUUAAAAUAGGUAACACAUAAAUUUGUAUAAUGAUAAUAAUACAAUAAUAAUGAUAAUAAUAAUAAUAAUAAAAAUAAUAAUAAUAAAAAUAAUAAUAAUAAUAAUAAUGCUAAUUUACUAAAAAAAAUAUGUUGAAAGUAACAGUUAAUAAAUUAAAUUGCCAUGUUGAAAAAAAAAAAUGUGUUCGAAUCUAAAUAAAUAUACUUAUAUACUCGCACAGGAAAUUGCCCAAAAAAAUACAAUCGUAUUAUUACAUAUUAUUAUUAUAUAGGUAAAGGCUAUAAAAUAUAAAUAUUUACAAUAUUUUACAACUAUAAUCACGUUUGAUUGCAAGAAUAAUGAUUUCUUUAGUGUGUUAACGUGCAAGUGUAUAAUAUUUUUACCUAUUGUUUAUAUAUUUUUUUUUUUUUUUUGUAAAUCAGUUGUGUAUACGAGAAUAAUCAUUUAUGAUCGAAAAAUGUAAAUAUAUAAAUAAUAAUAUUAUUAUUAUAAUAUUUUCUUCUUUUUUUUUCGUGUUUAUUUAAAAAAUGAUUUACAUGCUAGUUCAUAGGCAACCACUCAUACGCACUAAACUAAUAUACAGGUAAUAUUAUAAUAAUACGUACAAUACGUUCUUAAUUUACACAUGGAAAACAAAAUCAAUAAAAACGGGCAACAAAAUUUUAGGGACGCGCAGUAGUUAAAUUUUUUUUAAAAUUUUAUUUCGAAUCGAUUUUAUAAUAAUACUAUUUUUGUAUACACCUAUACGGAAUAAUAAGCAAUUUCUUAUGUACGAAAUAAAAUAAACGAAAUAUAAGAAAAGAAAGUCAAUUGGUAAGAAAUAAAUAAUUAUUUCAAACGUCUGCCGGAAUGUUGUCGAAAAACAUUCAAUACAAUAAAUUGGCAAAAGCCGUGAAAUAAAAUAAAAAACAAAAACAAAAAAAAAAAAAACAAAAAAAAAUGGAAAAGAAAUGAAACAAAAUAUACGUAACACAGCGUUGACUACAACAAAAAUUGUCUGAGGUUCGGGUAGUCGAUUUUUUCAUAAGAGAUUUAAUAAUCUCUGAGCAGCCAACUACCCGGGAUUUAUGCUAUUUAAGUAAUAGUCAUAUUUCACAUUUGGUUUACAAUAGUUUUGUUGUAGUAUAAUAUUGCUCAAAACGCCAUAACAUACAAUCAAAUGUUAAAAUAUUUUUCUUUUAAGUAAAACGCAAUUUCCGGACGAAAACAAUUAAUAAUAAUAAAGUAAAAAAAAAAUUCUACGAAAAAAUACAAAAUAAAUAAUAAAAAAAUCACAAGCUUUUAUCAAAUUUGACAUAAAGUCGAUUGCACUACAACUUAUACUCUGACUAGAUAAAAUAAUUAUUAUUAUUA